This 1350-nucleotide ribosomal RNA is filed under the name Triticum aestivum (bread wheat). Its description in RNAcentral is "partial small subunit ribosomal RNA". Lineage: Eukaryota; Viridiplantae; Streptophyta; Magnoliopsida; Poales; Poaceae. The record is from RNAcentral.
AUGGCGGCAUCCUGGGUCGACCUCCAUCAAGAUCUGCUAGACCUUGUCGUCGCCAACCUCCUUGACCCAGGCGACCGUGCCCGCGCCCGCGCCGUGUGCCGUUCAUGGCACGCCGCCGUGCGACGCCAUGGCCCCCAGGCGGCCCAGCUACCAUGGAUCGUCUUCCCUGAUGGCGAAUUCAUAACUCCGACCAAUGGCAGCAGAUGGGAAUGCCCCGGCUCUAUCCCUGACAAUGCGCGAUGCCGUGGCUCCGCCGACGAGUGGCUACUCCUUGGCAUCUACGAGCAGAACCUCAUCUACAUACCGGAAGACGAAGUAGAAUCUUAUUGCUUCAACAACUAUGUCUUGCACAAUAUUUUCCCCCUCGAGUAUGUGCCUCUCACCGAGCUUGACGCGGUCCUUCACCGUGCCUACCACGUCCUCAAGUUUCGAAUGCGGUCCACCGCCCGUGACUUCAUCGCCGUCACCACCACCAACGAGAAUCAUCCUCUCAUCGUAAUUCUACCAGGAAAGGGUGUGUGGCUGCCAGAACCACGAGCAGAACCAUAUAUCUAUAUCGUUGACAUUGCCUUUUCUGGAGACAAACUCUAUGGCAUCACAAAGGCCGGGGACCUCAUCCCCUUUGAUCUAGGGUUGGACGAGGAUGGGAGGCCCAUGGUUACCAUUGGAAGGCGUGUGAUUCGGCAACCACUCGAUUACAUGGAUUAUGAUUGGUGGCCUCCGUCUGAUUCAGAUGACGAUGAUAGAGACAUUGAUGAUGAUGACGACUACGAUGAUGUUGUGGGGGAGGAGGAAGGUGACGUAGCCAUUGAUGAGGACAAUGAGGAAGAGGAGAAGAUGGAGGCGACGAUGGAUGUGAAAACUGCGGGUGAUAAUGGGGUCGUCGAUUUUGAUCAAGACUGGACAACAAUGGCAAAUGAUAAUGACGAUGGUGAAAAGGACCACAAUUAUCUGAAUUCCACAUAUUACAAUGGCAAUAAAGAAAUCACUAGCUGGCACCUAGUCCAGUCAUGGGGGGAGUUGUUCAUGGUGAAGACACGCACGAGUAUGCUUCCAGAUUAUACCAUGUCCACUCGCCAGGUUGAUGUUUUUAUGGCGGAUGUUAACACAUGCAAAUGGGUACCAAUGGCUAAUGGCCUUGGAGGUAGUCAAACACUCUUCAUCAGCCCAGACUACUCCAAGUUUGUUUAUGCACCUUGUGGAGAUGUCGAAGAGGAUGCCAUUUAUCUUCUCGAGUCAGGCGAGGUCUUCAAUACGAAGACUCACAAUGCUAGCCCGACAAGAUUUCGUGAGCGUUGCUACUUCGGAGAAGAUGGAAUGUGGCUCUUCCCCCCGGAAUUGGUGCUUUAA